CUGGGUAUUUUUUAAACAAUGCAGUUAAAAGUUGCUCGAAAAAGAAUCAACGCCUACAAUUUUUUUGGCUUCUUGCUUUACGUCAGUUUACUUACGACAAGUAAUGGGUAGUAUGUACGCCGGCUAUUUCCUCACUCUGAGGAGA
This 145-nucleotide small RNA is filed under the name Pseudomonas frederiksbergensis. RNAcentral describes it as "Pseudomonas sRNA P14". It matches the Rfam family "Pseudomonas sRNA P14". The record is from RNAcentral. Lineage: Bacteria; Pseudomonadati; Pseudomonadota; Gammaproteobacteria; Pseudomonadales; Pseudomonadaceae.